Molecule: ribosomal RNA, 275 nt
Filed under: Ixodes ricinus (castor bean tick)
Lineage: Eukaryota; Metazoa; Arthropoda; Arachnida; Ixodida; Ixodidae
Description: partial large subunit ribosomal RNA
Source: RNAcentral
AAAAGCUUUCUUUAAUUGAAUAAUUGAAUUUAAUUUUUUAGUGCAAAAGCAAAAAUAAAAAUUAGGGACAAGAAGACCCUAUGAAUUUUUUAUUAAAUUUUAUAAAACUUUAUAUAAAAUUUAAUUUAAUUGGGGUGAUGGAAAAAGAAUAAAUAUCUUUUUUUUAAAGAAAAUUGGUUCCGUUUUUAGCGAUUAAAUGAAAAAAAUACUCUAGGGAUAACAGCGUAAUAAUUUUGGAUAGUUCAUAUAGAUAAAAUAGUUUGCGACCUCGAUGU